GACGAACGCUGGCGGCGUGCUUAACACAUGCAAGUCGAACGGAAAGGCCCCUUUGGGGGUCCUCGAGUGGCGAACGGGUGAGUAACACGUGCGUAACCUGCCCUGAACUCCGGGAUAACUUCAGUAAACUGGGGCUAAUACCGGAUAGGAAUCCUUGCUGCAUGGUGGGGGUUGGAAAGUUUCGGCGGUUUUGGAUGGACUCGCGGCUUAUCAGCUUGUUGGUGGGGUAGUGGCUUACCAAGGCUUUGACGGGUAGCCGGCCUGAGAGGGCGACCGGCCACAUUGGGACUGAGAUACGGCCCAGACUCCUACGGGAGGCAGCAGUGGGGAAUAUUGCACAAUGGGCGGAAGCCUGAUGCAGCAACGCCGCGUGCGGGAUGACGGCCUUCGGGUUGUAAACCGCUUUCAGCAGGGGCGAAGCUUGUGGUGACGGUACCUGCAGAAGAAGCACCGGCUAACUACGUG
This 465-nucleotide ribosomal RNA is filed under the name uncultured bacterium. Its description in RNAcentral is "partial 16S ribosomal RNA". It matches the Rfam family "Bacterial small subunit ribosomal RNA", at positions 28 to 507 of the family's 1533-position model. The record is from RNAcentral.